GUUUAUCAAAUCAAUCAAAAAAGGCUAAAAAUUAACAACAUUUUCUACCGUUGUGAAAAUUAAGUACCAAAAUAAUGAAACUUUUACUCUUUCUUGUUAUUUUUAUCGAAACCUUUGAGUCAAUUGUGGCUUCAAACCAAACAUGCAAAUCUCAAGCCCAUCUUCUAGACGAAAUCAAAUCAAAUUCCACAAUUAAUUUGUUCCCUGUGCAAAAUCCCAAUAUUGCACUUCGAGCAAUUGCAAUUUUCGACUUUCUGCACCUUCUGCAUGUUGAUAUUAUGCAACAGCAAAUCACGAUUAGAGGGUGGGUGGCACUUGAGUGGAAAAAUGAAUUUGUUCACUGGGAAGCUCAAGAUUACUGCGGGGUGACUCAUAUUCUGUCGAGUGGCGAUAAAAAUCAGCUGUGGUUUCCAGACGUGAUAGUACCCCAACUGGCAUCGAAUGAGGAUAUUCUGAAAGCGGGCUCUGCCCAGAUGCGAGUGGACGAGAGAGGAGGUUCGAUGAUAUGCAGAUAUGUGACAGUUCAGACCACUUGUGAGAUGAACGCGUGGAAGUUUCCAUUUGAUAAACACGAGUGUAGAAUAAGUGUAAAGGCGGACGCGGACUCCACUGACCAGCUGGUCCUGCUGGCAUCCAACAACAGUGGCAAGAGCUUCAUG
Long non-coding RNA from Symsagittifera roscoffensis, 659 nucleotides. RefSeq lists it as uncharacterized. NCBI's taxonomy places the organism in Eukaryota, Metazoa, Xenacoelomorpha, Acoela, Convolutidae. The transcript has 3 exons. The record is from RefSeq and is a predicted model, not a curated record.